This 253-nucleotide ribosomal RNA is filed under the name uncultured bacterium. RNAcentral's name for it is "partial 16S ribosomal RNA". It matches the Rfam family "Bacterial small subunit ribosomal RNA", at positions 524 to 776 of the family's 1533-position model. The record is from RNAcentral.
UACGUAGGGUGCGAGCGUUAAUCGGAAUUACUGGGCGUAAAGCGUGCGCAGGCGGUUAUGCAAGGCAGAUGUGAAAUCCCCGGGCUCAACCUGGGAACUGCAUUUGUGACUGCAUGGCUAGAGUGCGGCAGAGGGGGAUGGAAUUCCGCGUGUAGCAGUGAAAUGCGUAGAUAUGCGGAGGAACACCGAUGGCGAAGGCAAUCCCCUGGGCCUGCACUGACGCUCAUGCACGAAAGCGUGGGGAGCAAACAGG